RNAcentral lists this ribosomal RNA (353 nucleotides) under uncultured bacterium. RNAcentral's name for it is "bacterial SSU rRNA". It matches the Rfam family "Bacterial small subunit ribosomal RNA", at positions 8 to 353 of the family's 1533-position model. The record is from RNAcentral.
AGAGUUUGAUCCUGGCUCAGGAUGAACGCUAGCUACAGGCUUAACACAUGCAAGUCGAGGGGCAGCAUGAUUGAAGCUUGCUUCAAUUGAUGGCGACCGGCGCACGGGUGAGUAACACGUAUCCAACCUGCCGAUAACUCGGGGAUGGCCUUUCGAAAGAAAGAUUAAUACCCGAUAGUAUAGUAUUUCCGCAUGGUUUCACUAUUAAAGAAUUUCGGUUAUCGAUGGGGAUGCGUUCCAUUAGAUAGUAGGCGGGGUAACGGCCCACCUAGUCUUCGAUGGAUAGGGGUUCUGAGAGGAAGGUCCCCCACAUUGGAACUGAGACACGGUCCAAACUCCUACGGGAGGCAGCA